Molecule: ribosomal RNA, 497 nt
Filed under: Shigella sonnei
Lineage: Bacteria; Pseudomonadati; Pseudomonadota; Gammaproteobacteria; Enterobacterales; Enterobacteriaceae
Description: bacterial SSU rRNA
Rfam family: Bacterial small subunit ribosomal RNA
Source: RNAcentral
UUAAAUUGAAGAGUUUGAUCAUGGCUCAGAUUGAACGCUGGCGGCAGGCCUAACACAUGCAAGUCGAACGGUAACAGGAAACAGCUUGCUGUUUCGCUGACGAGUGGCGGACGGGUGAGUAAUGUCUGGGAAACUGCCUGAUGGAGGGGGAUAACUACUGGAAACGGUAGCUAAUACCGCAUAAUGUCGCAAGACUAAAGAGGGGGACCUUCGGGCCUCUUGCCAUCGGAUGUGCCCAGAUGGGAUUAGCUAGUAGGUGGGGUAACGGCUCACCUAGGCGACGAUCCCUAGCUGGUCUGAGAGGAUGACCAGCCACACUGGAACUGAGACACGGUCCAGACUCCUACGGGAGGCAGCAGUGGGGAAUAUUGCACAAUGGGCGCAAGCCUGAUGCAGCCAUGCCGCGUGUAUGAAGAAGGCCUUCGGGUUGUAAAGUACUUUCAGCGGGGAGGAAGGGAGUAAAGUUAAUACCUUUACUCAUUGACGUUACCCGCAGA